AUUCUACUCCCUCCAUUCCAAAUUACUUGUCGCACGUAUGGAUGUAUCUAGAUGUAUUUUAGUUCUAGAUACAUCUGUUUCAGUGACAAGUAAUUUGGAACGGAGGGAGUAUACC
This is a non-coding RNA of Triticum aestivum (bread wheat), 115 nucleotides long. The record is from Rfam. NCBI's taxonomy places the organism in Eukaryota, Viridiplantae, Streptophyta, Magnoliopsida, Poales, Poaceae.